RNAcentral lists this ribosomal RNA (401 nucleotides) under uncultured bacterium. Its description in RNAcentral is "bacterial SSU rRNA". It matches the Rfam family "Bacterial small subunit ribosomal RNA", at positions 975 to 1375 of the family's 1533-position model. The record is from RNAcentral.
CUGGGUUUGACAUCCCUGGACCGGCAUAGAGAUAUGCCUUUCGUAGCAAUACGACCGGGAGACAGGUGCUGCAUGGCUGUCGUCAGCUCGUGUGGUGACAUGUUGGGUUAAGUCCCGCAACGAGCGCAACCCUUGUCCUUAGUUGCCAUCAUUCAGUUGGGCACUCUAAGGAGACUGCCGUGGUUAACACGGAGGAAGGUGGGGAUGACGUCAAGUCCUCAUGGCCUUUAUAUCCAGGGCGACACACGUGAUACAAUGGACGGUACAGAGGGAAGCGAAACCGCGAGGUGGAGCUAAUCUCAAAAAGCCGUUCUCAGUUCGGAUUGGAGUCUGCAAUUCGACUCCAUGAAGUUGGAAUCGCUAGUAAUCGCGGAUCAGCACGCCGCGGUGAAUACGUUCCC